CCUACGGGUGGCAGCAGUGGGGAAUAUUGCACAAUGGGGGAAACCCUGAUGCAGCAACGCCGCGUGAGUGAAGAAGUAUUUCGGUAUGUAAAGCUCUAUCAGCAGGGAAGAAGAAAGACGGUACCUGACUAAGAAGCCCCUGCUAAUUACGUGCCAGGAGCCGCGGUAAUACGGAGGGGGCAAGCGUUAUCCGGAUUUACUGGGUGUAAAGGGAGGGUAGACGGCUGUGCAAGUCUGAAGGGAAAGUCCGUGGCUCAACCGCGGAACUGCUUUGGAAACUGUAUGGCUUGAGUACUGGAGAGGCAGGCGGAAUUCGUGGUGUAGCGGUGAAAUGCGUAGAUAUUAGGAGGAACACCGGUGGCGAAGGCAGCCUGCUGGACAGAAACUGACGUUGAGGCUCGAAAGCGUGGGGAGCGAACAGGAUUAGAUACCCCAGUAGUC
This 441-nucleotide ribosomal RNA is filed under the name uncultured bacterium. RNAcentral's name for it is "partial 16S ribosomal RNA". It matches the Rfam family "Bacterial small subunit ribosomal RNA", at positions 338 to 795 of the family's 1533-position model. The record is from RNAcentral.